Potamilus streckersoni is the source of this 75-nucleotide non-coding RNA. The record is from the annotation of a GenBank genome assembly. Lineage: Eukaryota; Metazoa; Mollusca; Bivalvia; Unionida; Unionidae.
UGAACCGUUGCCUUAGUGGUUAGAGUGUCUGCCUCGGAUGCGAGAGAUUGCGGGUUCGAAUCCCGGCCGACUUAU